UCACUUUCUGUUGUCGUUGUUACAUUUCUUCUGUUGUUUAGUUUCUCUUACUAACAUUUUUUUAAUCAUAUGAAUCUCUUUGACUUUCCAUUUCUCUCUCCUUUUGUUUGAUUUGAUCUAUAAAACGCUUCCCAGCUGAGUGUACCUUAGUGCUCCAUUUCUUGACAGUUUAUAAGUAACCAAUCACCCAUUCAUUAGUCCCUGAACCUCUAAUGCUGUCAGAAUGAAAGUGAAACUGUCACAAAAGAGGUCCAUGUUAAAGGUGCAGUAGGAGAUCUUGGAAAAUGCUAACUUUAGCCUGAUAGCACUGAAAGCGAACGUCCCACCCUCCCUGCAAUCUCCGUCCAAAGCUACGCCCCCUGAACGCAUAUGUGCUCACAGACCAGAAUACCAGAGACAACAUAACUACAACAGGCUACAUCCCCCGCUCUGCACAUUUCAUAUGUAUCUCUUAUCAGGUGCGACGUUUGUUCUAUUCGACUGUAAGUGCCCUGCAAAGUGGACAUCACCAGAUAUUCCGCCAUGAUUUCAGUUCAAAAUGAGCGUAUAUGUUCCAUACAAAGAGCAUUAAAGAGUGCGAGACGUAAAUUUAAAUAGUAUUUAUUUACGGAGGUAUAUUAUGUCACACUUCUCUAGUAAGUUUCAUCUGUGUGUGAAGACGCUGUGCAGCGAAAAUCUGUUAUUGAAUGUCCCGAAGUGAAGUAAACUUCAUCAGAUUUCCCCUACCCAGGGAGUAGGGAGCAAAGAACACUGUGUAGGGUGCAUGUCAAUUGGAACACAGUUCAUGCACGUAGCUCUCUUCUAACGAGUUGGUUAUCUGAAUCAGGUAUGUUAACUAAGCGAGACAUGCAAAAUAUUCCAAGCGUGAGGACUGGAAUUGGGAACCGCUGGGCUACAUCAUGUGUCAUUCACCAGUGAGAAAACUUUAUAGUACAUUUAGUAAAAGUUCUACAAUACCAGGAAGGAAGAUCAGGUUGUUGAUGUUUGCCUGCCUUUCUCAGUCUGUCUGCACAGCAUGUGUGAAUGCGCUGAUGACGUAUCCUGUCUGCGCCAACCUUCCACAGAAUAUAUAAAUACAGAUAAAUACAUUUAGACCACUUAACUUAAUGAUUGCUAUCGGGAUGUGAAGAGACUUUCAACCAGCAUAACAAAAAAUGUUUCUAAAGACAAUCACCUAUUGCACCUUUAAAUGUAUGUCAUCGUUCAUCCCUUUGUGAAUUCCCUGCACUUUGCACUAUUAUCACUUUGAGUUUCAUUCUGACUGGACUCAAAGGCUGCUCACACCAAAGCCUCUUUAUGCUUUUGCUAGAUGGGAGCUGUCCUGCCAUCAGGGCAUUGCUAAAAUCUCUUCAGAACAGAGCACAUGAGACACACUGAGUGGCAAUAAUGGCACAGUAGGUUGACUCAAGAUUGAGUAGAAAAAGCAGGAGAAUGGAUAGAGUGAAAGAGACAGAGCUCACAACAAAAACAAGUGUGUGCUGUCCGCUCUGUCGGAUCACACACAGUCAAGACAUGUGUGUGCUUUAACUCACGCGCCUGGUCCAUGUCCUAAGGUAAAGAACCCCCUUCCUAACUCGCAUAGGAGGAGGGGCGAAUCUAAUACUCUGUUCAAAUGUCAGUUUUCAGUUGUUGCUGUCUACGUCCCCAAUUACAUGUGCUAAUCUAUUAACUUAAUUUGGGAAAAAAUAGGAACACAAUCCUCUUUGGAGGGGUUGUUGGCCUCAGUGUUUCACAGAACUGACUCAAAGAAUUCAUGAAAAAGUCCUCGGAUAUUCCUGGGAGUCCAUUGGGUGUGUCCUGUUAAUUUGCCUGUAAUGCAACAUUACUGUACAUGAAUCUAUUUUCAGCGCAAUCUAUGUUCAAAAACAAACCAUUCUACAGUCGUUGACCAAACUUAGCCCCAAAGCUCAGUUUUGCAAUGAUUUGUCCUUGAAAAAUCAUCCUCUGUGAACCUUUGCUGGAGCAGUUCUGAGGAAAAUGACCCAACAGUUCUUGUUUAGACCCAUCCCAGUGUUUUGUAUUUGUGUUUAAGUUUUCAACACUGGAACUUUUAGUUUAAAUUUAACAGAUACCUUAAUUUAUUAAAUUAAAUUCUGCCAGUGUUUUGAUUUUUGUACAACUGAAGUAGACACUGGUUGUAAAGUUAGUAAAAUAGUAGUCUGAUAAGCUCGUUCUUGACCAGUCUCCGUAGUAAUGAAUUUGAAAAUGUUGCUUUUACACACAGACAAGAGAUUAUGCAUAUGAACUUUGCCUGCUUGACCAAAAAAUAAGACAUGGCAAAACUGUUGCAACAACAUUCAUCCAAAACUGCUUGUUUCUCUCUCUCUCUCUUCCUCUCCUUUCUCUAUGUCCACAGUUGAAAAACAUACUGACUCAAGUGUCAGGAACAAAAACAAGUUGGCCAUCCUCACAUACUAAGAGAAGGAGAGAAUGAAAGAAAAAAAAAACAAUCAAAAGAAAAGCUUGACCCUGACCUAUGUGUGCAGUCGGUCAGCUUUUUGCCCUCAUUUCUCUCCCUCCAUCUUGGUUUGUUGUUCAGCAGAAAAGAGGGAUCAAAAUAAGUGUGGAAGCUCUUCGCAUGGAGCAACACCCCAUAAAAUGAUGCACAACAUUUUUAUUUGAUUUGUAGAAAAAAUAAUUAUUGUUUGUUUGUAAGAAGAAAUUUACAGCAUUUUUAACAUAAAAUAUCAAAAUAUUUGUGAAUACAUGUUAUUUUUCUGAAAUGCUCUGAGAUGCUCAGAAUGCACACAAAAAAGUAAUGCUUACAAGGGGGGCAUUAAAUAUAUUGACAGAGAAACCUCCACUGUACCGCUUAUUAUGGGUACCUUCUGUGUACUGAAACUAGAAGCUGAGAAAAAAACAAUGUCCUGUAUUAGUUUAUGUGAGGAGCUCUGAUAAUGUUUGUUCAAUGGAACUAAAAGUGCUCUGUAAAUGUGUGCCUUGUUUAAAAGAACGUUAAAGAA
Cyprinus carpio (common carp) is the source of this 2963-nucleotide long non-coding RNA. RefSeq lists it as uncharacterized. NCBI's taxonomy places the organism in Eukaryota, Metazoa, Chordata, Actinopteri, Cypriniformes, Cyprinidae. The record is from RefSeq and is a predicted model, not a curated record. The transcript is spliced from 2 exons.